This is a long non-coding RNA of Bubalus bubalis (water buffalo), 481 nucleotides long. RefSeq lists it as uncharacterized. The transcript has 2 exons. The record is from RefSeq and is a predicted model, not a curated record. NCBI's taxonomy places the organism in Eukaryota, Metazoa, Chordata, Mammalia, Artiodactyla, Bovidae.
AAAAUGUGAGGUGCCAAGCCUGGCAGCAAAGAGAGGACUGAUCAACAAAGCAGCCAAGCAAAGAAAGGAGGAAAACUCAAGGACCCAACCCCUCCCUCCACGCAAGAGGCUCGGAUCUGCUUGCUUAUCUUGCUGCUAUGAUACCAGGAACAAUACAGAUGCUUAUUGAGGAAAAACUAGGACUGGCAGAAAAGCAGACAAAAACAAUUCCUUAUCAGAACUCUGGUUUGAUAUCUCAUCAAAUUUCACACACAUUAUGCGACCAGACAACCUACGAUGGUGAAGAGUGCAAUUGAGAGAAGUGAGAGAUAGAGAAAACUGCCUCCUGAACUUGGUUGGCCAGCUAUGUGAUGCGCCCCCGCAGGAAAAAGUAUCGGUUGGUAAUCACAAACACUUACUUUUUACUCACAGAGACGCAGGAAUGGAUUUGAUCAUGUUGUGGAGUGCUUUGAGGUCUUUGGAAUAAAGGCAUUCUACAAAU